UACGUAGGGUGCAAGCGUUGUCCGGAAUUAUUGGGCGUAAAGAGCUCGUAGGCGGUUCGUCGCGUCGGCUGUGAAAACCCGGAGCUCAACUCCGGGCCUGCAGUCGAUACGGGCGGACUAGAGUUCGGCAGGGGAGACUGGAAUUCCUGGUGUAGCGGUGAAAUGCGCAGAUAUCAGGAGGAACACCGAUGGCGAAGGCAGGUCUCUGGGCAUUAACUGACGCUGAGGAGCGAAAGCAUGGGGAGCGAACAGG
RNAcentral lists this ribosomal RNA (253 nucleotides) under uncultured bacterium. RNAcentral's name for it is "partial 16S ribosomal RNA". It matches the Rfam family "Bacterial small subunit ribosomal RNA", at positions 524 to 776 of the family's 1533-position model. The record is from RNAcentral.